GGAAGAGAAACCACAGCGGAAGCAGGAAGCUAGUUUUUAUUAUUUUUUAGAACCCGUUUGUUCUUGGGUUGGCCGCUGUGUAUCGGGGCUCGGGGUCGGAAUCGAAUUAUAGUGCAAGAGAUCGCAUUUUCGCCUCUCUUGCGGUGACAAGUCUCCGCAGGUGGUGUCCCCGCACCCCAAGAUCCGGAUGCUGCAAACUUUGGCCAUGGGUUCUGUAGCUAAUCUCUUGUGCACUGUGUAAACCUUUCUCCGGUCAAUACAAUGGCCAGUGAGCUUAGGCAGGAAAUUAGAAGGUGUGAUGCCUGGAAAAGAGAGGGGCCGGGGUGGAUGCCGGGAUCGACACCGACGCAAGUUUGGCCCCAGAACGCUGAUGGAGAUAGCAGCAAAAACUGAGAACCAGGACCUGGAGGAUCCUCCGUUCUUCUUCCACCAGAAACAAGACCACCUUCUGAAACUCCUCCAGGAUGCGUUCUCUCCGCUCUUUCACUCUCUCCUGUCGAAAUGGAAUGGGGGAACCCCAAACUGGCUAUGAGAUGGAUUCAGAAAGGAGGGAUUUCCUUCAGGGUUGCCACACAGCAAUUCUGGGACAACCGGUGACCUAGAAUUCUUAGGAAAAGUUGGGGAAGCCAGACUUUUGACCAAGACUCUCCACACCAUCCCUAUUGCACCCUAACAGGCCUUGAGUAAUAACACCCAUACAUUCAAAUGUCCAUGUGUCCUGGUGUCAGUGGGCUUAGAACAUGCAACCUCAAAGAAAGACACAGGCAUGAUUCAUAAAAAAGGACGGGGGACUCCUAAUGACCAGGCUAAAAUGAUUUUGGAGUUACCCAUGUCCCUAAAGCUGUUGUUCAAAAAUAGUAAGAAAUCAAGAGUUUCAAAGACAGCAGACAAACUUCUUAAAUACCUGCCCCCCUCAUGUUUUAUGCACUUGUUUAUCUUUCCUUCCUUCCCUCUGAGAGAGGCUUUUCCCACAUAGCUCUGGGUAUUCUGGGACUGGUUACAUAGUUCAGGUUGACUCUGGACUAACAGGCCUUGCUUUUGCCUCCUUGAGUUCUGGGAUUCCAAAUAAGCACCAGCAAAGCCGCAUCCCCCAGACCCGAGCAGGCCGUUUCCUGUGAAGAGGAAGAAGUCAGCCUUUGCCCAACCUAAGAUUACCUAAGAUAAUCUAUGGUUAACAAACUAAUGUCUUCCUGAUCCCACUUUACAAGGGAGAUAACUUUGAAAUGAAAGGACCACCUGCAGCCUUUCUCAGUUUUUUAAAUCAAAGAUACAGCCCACAUCUAUGUUAUGGAACAGGCUUCUAGAAUGAAGAAAUAGAGCUAUUUAAGAUCUAAAUAACAAGAUUCUUUUAAAAGGGGGCUGGAGAGAUGGCUUAGGGCACCUAGACAUUCACCUCACAUCCUUCCUAAGCCAUAGUUCCAGGUGAUCUGAUGCCCUCUUCUGGCCUUGCUGGACAUUGCAUACACAUUAUUCAUAUAUACAUGCAGGCAAAUACCAAUACACAUAAAAUGAGGAUAAUUUUAUUUAUUUUUUUUAUUAUACAUAAGUAUACUAUAGCUGACUUCAGACACAUCAAAAGAGGGCAUCAGAUCACCUGAUGUAUCUAGUGUUAAAGCACUCUUUACGGGUGGUUGUGAGCCACCAUGUGGUUGCUGGGAUUUGAACUCAGGACCUUUGGAAGAGCAGUCAGUGCUCUUACCUGCUGAGUCAUCUUACCAACCCGAGGAUAAUUUUUAAAAACAAUUGUUUGAACCAUCCAGGUGCAGUAGUGCUUGCCAGUACACAUAGCUAUUGGGGAGGCUGAGGCAGGAGGAUUACUUAAGCCUAUGAGUUCAAGGCUAACCUGAAUUUAUGAGCACCCGUCAAAAAAAUUUUUUAAUGUGUUGUUAUUUUGUUCUCUGGCAGACUUCAGGUGUUCUAGCAGGCUUCACCUGAGGCUCACUUUAAAAAUCCUGCUCACCUGUUGUGUUGGCUCAAUUUGUAGGUCAGGCACCGAACCUGCAGAGUACAGGAACCCUUUUCCUCCUUGAAGCCCUGAAAGGCACUUUCCUGUCACAGAUGAGGAUAGGUAUAGGCACACAGGGUGGAACAGCAGCCAUUGGGCACCUACCUGCCACUCAGUUAAGGUCUGUUCCUCCUUGGCUUGCAGUGUCUCCGUCUUCAUCAUCUCCUCCCGUAGAUAUUUUAUGUCCUCCUCCAACUUGAGCUGGACACACAAACAGGCCUCCGGUCAGCAGACCCCACCUCUGCCCACAUCUGGAGUGCAGUCUCUGCAGCUGUACUGACGACCCCAGAGAUCCUCCUACAGACAGGGUGGUCUAGCUUCCCAUUCCAGCGGCCAGGAAAUGAGCCUCUCUUGACCUGGGCUUUGGAGGUUAGCUCCUGGUGAUGUAUGUACACUGUGUUGGUAAACUGUCUAUGCGGCUUGAGCUCACUGAGAAGCUGGCUCUGGAAGCAGGGUUAGCCCCACCCCCACCCACUCACAUCUAUUUUACACCCAGGCAUGUUUGUCGAAAGUGCCCUUGAAAGCCCCUUGUCCUGAGAUUGGCUUCUCCCCUAACUCUGAUGUAACAGGUCGGAGUAAAAAACAAACAGCAAAAUAGCCCAAGAGUAAAAAUGUUGUGUGCUUAGAAACAACUAUAAGACAAGCCACUCCCGGGGCUGGUGAGAUAGCUCAGUGGGUUGAGAGCACCAACUGCUCUUCCAAAGGUCCUGAGUUCAGAUCCCAGCAACCACGUGGUGGCUCACAACCAUCCAUAACGAGAUCUCUCUUUUCUGGAGUGUCUGAAGACAGCUACAGUGUACUUACAUAUAAUAAAUAAAUAAAUAAAUUUUAAAAAAGACAAGCCACUCCCAACAGAGGUAACUAUUGUUUAUCCUGUGAUGUAAAAAUGUAUCUAGUGUUAAAGAGAAGCCAGAAUUUCAGUCAUCAGAAGCACAUUGAGAGAGAGAGAGAGAGAGAGCUCAGUUAGCCAAGCCAAGCCAAACCAAACCAAAAAGCCUCUGCAGCUGACUGCCUCAACUUGCCUAGUCAAUUCUGCUGACCCUUAUUCGAUGAUGUUGCCUUUUCUCUCUUGAUCAGGCUCCUCCCUCAAUUGUUUCUGCUGGACUUCGUAAACUCAUUUGAUUACACUUUGCCAUCUAUGUACUGACUAUCUGCUACUCACUAUGUGUUCUUACCUUUGCCUGCCACUCGUUAGUUAAUAAACGUGGCUACUGUAGACCAUCCCUG
This 3232-nucleotide long non-coding RNA is filed under the name Mus musculus (house mouse). RNAcentral's name for it is "RIKEN cDNA 2310058D17 gene". Lineage: Eukaryota; Metazoa; Chordata; Mammalia; Rodentia; Muridae. The record is from RNAcentral.